Non-coding RNA from Pelobates cultripes (western spadefoot toad), 288 nucleotides. Lineage: Eukaryota; Metazoa; Chordata; Amphibia; Anura; Pelobatidae. The record is from the annotation of a GenBank genome assembly.
UGACACUGUUGCAGGAGAGGAAGGAAGGUGUGGGGAGAAAAAGCAAUGAACAGUUUAAUUGAUAUGUUUUCCUGAAGUAGUAAAGGAAUGAAACCUGGUUUAAAUAUUCAUAUCAUGUUAUGAGAGGUAGUGUAGGAAACAUUAUUGUGAAUUUAGAAAAUUGAAUUGCACAAUUUAGGCAAAAAUAGCUGAUUUGAACAUAUUCUCCUACUGAAAAACAUACAUGCAUAAAGUGGAGCUUCUUGCAUUGGCGUUAAAUAAAUAUCUGUAAUCAUAUGAAUACAAAAA